GUUUCAGUAGUCUAACUGGCUAGGACACUUGCGCAUAAAGCGAGCGAUCCGGGUUCAACUCCCGGCUGAGAUA
Molecule: non-coding RNA, 73 nt
Organism: Cyphomyrmex costatus
Lineage: Eukaryota; Metazoa; Arthropoda; Insecta; Hymenoptera; Formicidae
Source: Rfam